AAGAAGUUCAUCUUGGAUUUAUGUUGGUUGCAAUGGGAAUCCUUUGAAUUGCCAUUGUUGCAAGCUGCAUGCACUAUCAAUUCUAUUCAUAGAAUCUCAGGCCAAUAUCGGUGCAAGCUAACAUAGACCUAAAAGUACUCCAAAAAGAUACAGACCAUAGCUAUAAGGGUCCUCUAAAAUGCAUCGGCAAUUGCUGCAUCAAUACCAAUUGUAUCAAACUCGAUCUCGUCUUCGGUUCGUCGAGCCACUUCUACCCUAAAGCUGUUGCAGAGAUCAUCAAAGUCUCCCAUUGAUGCAUAAGCACCAAAAUAGUGAACACUCACUGUCUGCAAAGACAAAGGGUAGGGUCCUAUAAGAUUAUUUGGUUUUAUGACACAAAGAAACCCAUAAAUUUGAGAACCUUGAGAACAGGAUGUGUAACACUUGACAAUUAACUCCAGCAAAUGGUAUGAUAUUAGAUAAUGGGAUACUUGGAAAGGAAGGUAAAAGUGGAAUGUUAUUUUUUAUGAUAUUAAUAUAUUUAUUUAUUUAUAAAAAUAUAUAAAAAAUUUAAAAUAUUCAUAUAUUUAUGUUGUAUUAUACUUUAUAAGUAUCAGAUAUCCAUCUUUAAAUGUAAUAGAAGAGGUAACAGUUGAAAUCUCAUCGAAUACCCUACCGAGUACUUUUAUUAAUAAGGGAAUAUGUCAUACUACCCAAGCUUCAACGACAUAAUUGAAUAAGGAAAUAUGUAAAUUUUUUUAUAUUCUAUAUUUUCAUUCUUUACGAUCAUGUUUGAAGUUCAUGAAUAUUUUUCUCAACAAUGUAGUCGUCAAAAUUCAAACAUGCAUCUCUUAGUAUAUCUUUAUUUUCUACUUUUGACAAUUAAUCUUCGAAGUAUAAUAUAAUAAACCAAUUCAUCUACGAAGUAUAAUAUAAUAAUCUAUCUUUUUAAAAAAAAAUUAUUUUAUGUUUGGAUGAAGAUAAUCCAUCCUUGUGAUAUAGUAGUAUAAACAACUGAAAAUUGCAGACUUUCCCAAUGAUAAUUGCUGCAACAUUUUACUUCCUAAUAAUAGUAAUCUAGAUAGAAUUAAUAGAUAGUUUAAAUAAUAAAAAAAUUAAAUAAAACCCCAAAUCAAAUUCAUAUUCUUGGCAUGUUCUUCUGGCUAUAUAUAGUUUGUAUUUUUAUUUGAAAAAUACUUCAUUAAAACAAGGGCAGGCAGGCAUAGAAUGGAAAGCAUGUGGUCUACCAGCCAAGGCUCUUCCCCUCAAUAUAUAGGCAAGCAUUUGGUCCAUCACAGUUGAUUCACUUCAUUUUUACACCCACUUUAUAUACACACAACUAUUUAGUUAAAGGUUUUCAAUUAUGGAAAAUAGAAAAGAGGGUGAAAUUGAGGACAUGCCAAUGCCAUUGUCCCCACCAACAAUGGGGUCUAUGCAGAUUGCAGGAAGCAAUGGUUUUGGUCAUAACAUUGAGUUCAUGUCUCAGGCUUACCUCAGAAACCGAUACUCUGAGAUUGAUAUUGAGGACUACACCGUGUAUGCUGAUAAAGACCACCCUCUCCCCAUAUUUCUCAAGGUAGUUGAUUUCUUGGGUUCUUU
This 1578-nucleotide long non-coding RNA is filed under the name Gossypium raimondii (Peruvian cotton). RNAcentral describes it as "long non-coding RNA (GRAI_LNC002490)". Lineage: Eukaryota; Viridiplantae; Streptophyta; Magnoliopsida; Malvales; Malvaceae. The record is from RNAcentral.